This is a non-coding RNA of Pongo abelii (Sumatran orangutan), 84 nucleotides long. NCBI's taxonomy places the organism in Eukaryota, Metazoa, Chordata, Mammalia, Primates, Hominidae. The record is from Rfam.
GUGUGUGGUGUCCUACUCCGGAGAGUGGCAAUCACAUGUUCAAUCAAGUGUGAUUGAAACCUCUAAGAGUGGAAUAACACAUGA